AGAGUUUGAUCAUGGCUCAGAUUGAACGCUGGCGGCAGGCCUAACACAUGCAAGUCGAGCGGAUGAAGGGAGCUUGCUCCCUGAUUCAGCGGCGGACGGGUGAGUAAUGCCUAGGAAUCUGCCUGGUAGUGGGGGACAACGUCUCGAAAGGGACGCUAAUACCGCAUACGUCCUACGGGAGAAAGCAGGGGACCUUCGGGCCUUGCGCUAUCAGAUGAGCCUAGGUCGGAUUAGCUAGUUGGUGAGGUAAUGGCUCACCAAGGCGACGAUCCGUAACUGGUCUGAGAGGAUGAUCAGUCACACUGGAACUGAGACACGGUCCAGACUCCUACGGGAGGCAGCAGUGGGGAAUAUUGGACAAUGGGCGAAAGCCUGAUCCAGCCAUGCCGCGUGUGUGAAGAAGGUCUUCGGAUUGUAAAGCACUUUAAGUUGGGAGGAAGGGUUGUAGAUUAAUACUCUGCAAUUUUGACGUUACCGACAGAAUAAGCACCGGCUAACUCUGUGCCAGCAGCCGCGGUAAUACAGAGGUGCAAGCGUUAAUCGGAAUUACUGGGCGUAAAGCGCGCGUAGGUGGUUUGUUAAGUUGGAUGUGAAAGCCCCGGGCUCAACCUGGGAACUGCAUUCAAAACUGACAAGCUAGAGUAUGGUAGAGGGUGGUGGAAUUUCCUGUGUAG
Molecule: ribosomal RNA, 674 nt
Filed under: uncultured Gammaproteobacteria bacterium
Lineage: Bacteria; Pseudomonadati; Pseudomonadota; Gammaproteobacteria
Description: bacterial SSU rRNA
Rfam family: Bacterial small subunit ribosomal RNA
Source: RNAcentral